Molecule: long non-coding RNA, 853 nt
Filed under: Vigna radiata
Lineage: Eukaryota; Viridiplantae; Streptophyta; Magnoliopsida; Fabales; Fabaceae
Description: long non-coding RNA (VRAD_LNC004658)
Source: RNAcentral
UUAACCAUGAAAGAACAAAAACCGUAACAUUGUUUACCACAUUGCAAAGUGCUCUCUAAAAAAUUGUUCCAGCCAAAGAAAAAAAGAAAAGAGUGUGACGGUUAGAACACUUCUCAAUCACCCAAAAUCUAAUAACAAUACCAUGGUUCUAAGAAAAGUUGUCUCUGGAAACGUUGUAGCCAGCCAGCCUCCCUAAGUGACGGCUUCACACUUAAAGCAAUGCCAUGUGCCCUCAAAAAUGAGGUGGGGUCCACCCAAAAAAAAUUAAAACCCUAGGGCAUGUGUCCUACAAAAUUGUCACUAAAAAGGGCCCAAUGUGCACAAGCUUGUCUAAAAGUUUAAAAAAUUAAAAUUACAAUACAACUAAAAUUUAAAAUGUCUAAAUUUGAGAGUCUUGAAUUUAUUUUGUCUCCUCCAAAUGUCCCAAAUUGUGUUUCCAAAAUUUUCCCUAAAAAUAAUAAUGCAAAUAAUUAGCUCAGAAAAUUCAAAUUAAUUAAAAUUCGAAUUUCUGGUCAAAUUAACCACAAUUAGCAGAAACGGGAAAAUACAGGACAUUUAAGCACAAUUCGCUGAUUAAUUUUAGUACAAUAAACUAAGUGAAAUCAAUAAAAUAUCGACUCAUCACCCAUCCCGUCUGAAAAGUCAUUUCUUACUUGCACCUCCUGUUUCUGCUAAAUAUCAUCCCUUCAAGUUUGGGCUUAAGCCCAGAUUGUUUAUAAAAAUGGUUAGACACCCCUCUUUCUUAUUUAGGCACCUCCACACCCGUUUUAUUUACUUACUAAUUUAUUUUACCAUUUCAUUCUUUAUUUUAUUUUCAUCUUUCUUUUUGUUUUUAUUUAUUUAUCUGUUUUUA